UCCACUGCAUUCUAUUGAGUACAUGUGAGUCAGAAGCCCAUCCUGUUUUAAGGGGAGAGGAAUUACACUCCACCUCUCAAUGGGUGAAUGAACAGACAAAAGAUAUUGAAAGCCGACUCCAGCAAACAAUGCAGAUAACUCUGCAGGAUGACAAUGGAUCCGGAAUAGGAAAUGUUACAAUGGUAACAGCCAGCUGAGACCUGACCAGGGGCCCGGAGACAUUUCCAAGAGGAUGGAGGAGCCCUUCUCAGCUACAUCUCAGAAAUAAAUGCACAGCCUUCUAAGGGACUACUGUGAAAGACAAGGUGUUCUGGACUACAUAUUACAAAAGUGCCAUGUUUUACUAUGAAACCUGUCUCAUUGCCU
This 366-nucleotide long non-coding RNA is filed under the name Homo sapiens (human). RNAcentral's name for it is "non-protein coding lnc-WDR11-2:3". The record is from RNAcentral. Lineage: Eukaryota; Metazoa; Chordata; Mammalia; Primates; Hominidae.